GACGAACGCUGGCGGCGUGCUUAACACAUGCAAGUCGUACGGUAAGGCCCUUUCGGGGGUACACGAGUGGCGAACGGGUGAGUAACACGUGAGUAACCUGCCCACAACUUUGGGAUAACGCUAGGAAACUGGUGCUAAUACUGGAUAUGUGCUCCUGCUGCAUGGUGGGGGUUGGAAAGAUCCGGGGGGUGUGGAUGGACUCGCGGCCUAUCAGCCUGGUGGUGGGGUAGUGGCCUACCAAGGGGGCGACCGGUAGCCGGCCUGGGAGGGUGACCGGCCACAUUGGGACUGGGAUACGGCCCAGACUCCUACGGGAGGCAGCAGUGGGGAAUAUUGCACAAUGGGCGCAAGCCUGAUGCAGCAACGCCGCGUGCGGGAUGACGGCCUUCGGGUUGUAAACCGCUUUCAGCAGGGACGAAGCUUUUUGUGACGGUACCUGCAGAAGAAGCACCGGCUAACUACGUG
This 465-nucleotide ribosomal RNA is filed under the name uncultured bacterium. RNAcentral's name for it is "partial 16S ribosomal RNA". It matches the Rfam family "Bacterial small subunit ribosomal RNA", at positions 28 to 507 of the family's 1533-position model. The record is from RNAcentral.